AAAAUUGACAGUAAGGACGAGAAUAUUGAAUAUCACUAGACAACAACAAACAUCUUAGUCUUCUUCGGCGCCGUGAGAGUUGUACAAAGUUAAAAGGUAGCUCAACGCGACAAAUUCAAUUGCUAUAUCAAGAAGAGGGACCGAAUUUCUGUGUCUCAAAAUCCCUCCAAAAAACGGCCAAUUGAUCUUGAUCAUGCAAGCCAUCACCAUCGAUUCCAUAGACGGGAAGCCCGGCAAACCGGGCCAAGUUUACUACCCGCUCUCCAUCAAGAAACUCCCCAUCCCAAGACCACAAGGCACCGAGCUCCUCAUAAAGCUUACCGCCGCCGCCCUUAACCACCGGGACCUCUUCCUCCGCCAACACCUAUACCCAGGCGUAUCAUUCGACGUUCCCCUCCUCGCGGAUGGUGUCGGCAUCGUCAUCUCCGCCGGCCCAGAGGUGAAGGAACCACAGUCAUGGAUCCAAAGGCGCGUCGUUCUGAACCCGGGGACCGGCUGGCUGGAUUCCGAAGAAGGCCCUGAGGCCCCGACCGGAUACGCUAUCAUGGGCGGCACCAAAUUUAACAGCAAGGGCACACUGCAGGAAUAUGUCACCAUCGACGUGGGCGAAGUGGAAGAGGCGCCUGCGCACUUGACGGAUGUGGAGGCGGCGGCAUUGCCGCUGACGGGCUUGACGGCGUGGCGGGCGCUGGUGACGAAGGCCGGAGCGAAGAACUCGAGCAAAGGGGCCGCGAUCCUGAUUACGGGGAUUGGAGGUGGAGUUGCGCUGAUGGCGCUGAGGUUUGCUGUCGCGAGGGGUGUGCAUGUGGUUGUGACGAGCUCGAGUGAGGAGAAGCUGAAGCUGGCUGCUGGGUUGGGGGCGAAGGGGGGCGUGAAUUACAAGGAGCCUGAG
This 892-nucleotide small RNA is filed under the name Histoplasma capsulatum var. duboisii H88. RNAcentral describes it as "Histoplasma capsulatum H88 hypothetical RNA". Lineage: Eukaryota; Fungi; Ascomycota; Eurotiomycetes; Onygenales; Ajellomycetaceae. The record is from RNAcentral.